RNAcentral lists this ribosomal RNA (2908 nucleotides) under Edwardsiella ictaluri. RNAcentral's name for it is "23S ribosomal RNA". It matches the Rfam family "Bacterial large subunit ribosomal RNA". Lineage: Bacteria; Pseudomonadati; Pseudomonadota; Gammaproteobacteria; Enterobacterales; Hafniaceae. The record is from RNAcentral.
GGUUAAGUGACUAAGCGUACACGGUGGAUGCCUAGGCAGUCAGAGGCGAUGAAGGACGUGCUAAUCUGCGAUAAGCGUCGGUGAGCUGAUAUGAAGCAUUAUUAGCCGGCGAUGUCCGAAUGGGGAAACCCAGUGCAAUCCGUUGCACUAUCGUUAAGUGAAUCCAUAGCUUAACGAGGCGAACCAGGGGAACUGAAACAUCUAAGUACCCUGAGGAAAAGAAAUCAACCGAGAUUCCCCCAGUAGCGGCGAGCGAACGGGGAAGAGCCCAGAACCUGAAUCAGUUUGUGCAUUAGUGGAAGCGUCUGGAAAGUCGCGCGAUACAGGGUGAUAGCCCCGUACACGAAGGUGCACAGCUGUGAGUUCGAUGAGUAGGGCGGGACACGUGUUAUCCUGUCUGAAUAUGGGGGGACCAUCCUCCAAGGCUAAAUACUCCUGACUGACCGAUAGUGAACCAGUACCGUGAGGGAAAGGCGAAAAGAACCCCGGCGAGGGGAGUGAAAUAGAACCUGAAACCGUGUACGUACAAGCAGUGGGAGCAUCCUUUUGGGUGUGACUGCGUACCUUUUGUAUAAUGGGUCAGCGACUUAUAUUUUGUAGCAAGGUUAACCGAAUAGGGGAGCCGUAGGGAAACCGAGUCUUAACUGGGCGUCUAGUUGCAAGGUAUAGACCCGAAACCCGGUGAUCUAGCCAUGGGCAGGUUGAAGGUUGGGUAACACUAACUGGAGGACCGAACCGACUAAUGUUGAAAAAUUAGCGGAUGACUUGUGGCUGGGGGUGAAAGGCCAAUCAAACCGGGAGAUAGCUGGUUCUCCCCGAAAGCUAUUUAGGUAGCGCCUCGUGAACUCAUCUUCGGGGGUAGAGCACUGUUUCGGCUAGGGGGUCAUCCCGACUUACCAACCCGAUGCAAACUACGAAUACCGAAGAAUGUUAUCACGGGAGACACACGGCGGGUGCUAACGUCCGUCGUGAAGAGGGAAACAACCCAGACCGCCAGCUAAGGUCCCAAAGUCAUGGUUAAGUGGGAAACGAUGUGGGAAGGCACAGACAGCCAGGAUGUUGGCUUAGAAGCAGCCAUCAUUUAAAGAAAGCGUAAUAGCUCACUGGUCGAGUCGGCCUGCGCGGAAGAUGUAACGGGGCUAAACCAUGCACCGAAGCUGCGGCAGCGACGCUUAGGCGUUGUUGGGUAGGGGAGCGUUCUGUAAGCCGUUGAAGGUGGCCUGUGAGGGCUGCUGGAGGUAUCAGAAGUGCGAAUGCUGACAUAAGUAACGAUAAAGCGGGUGAAAAGCCCGCUCGCCGGAAGACCAAGGGUUCCUGUCCAACGUUAAUCGGGGCAGGGUAAGUCGACCCCUAAGGCGAGGCCGAAAGGCGUAGUCGAUGGGAAACAGGUUAAUAUUCCUGUACUUGGUGUUAUUGCGAAGGGGGGACGGAGAAGGCUAGACCGGCCGGGCGACGGUUGUCCCGGUUUAAGCGUGUAGGUGUGAUGACCUGGCAAAUCCGGUUAUCUUUAACACUGAGGCGUGAUGACGAGGCACUACGGUGCUGAAGUGGUUAAUGCCCUGCUUCCAGGAAAAGCCUCUAAGCUCCAGAUAACACUGAAUCGUACCCCAAACCGACACAGGUGGUCAGGUAGAGAAUACCAAGGCGCUUGAGAGAACUCGGGUGAAGGAACUAGGCAAAAUGGUGCCGUAACUUCGGGAGAAGGCACGCUGGCAUGUAGGUGAAGUCCCUCGCGGAUGGAGCCGAAGCCAGUCGAAGAUACCAGCUGGCUGCAACUGUUUAAUAAAAACACAGCACUCUGCAAACACGAAAGUGGACGUAUAGGGUGUGACGCCUGCCCGGUGCUGGAAGGUUAAUUGAUGGGGUCAGCCGCAAGGCGAAGCUCUUGAUCGAAGCCCCAGUAAACGGCGGCCGUAACUAUAACGGUCCUAAGGUAGCGAAAUUCCUUGUCGGGUAAGUUCCGACCUGCACGAAUGGCGUAAUGAUGGCCAGGCUGUCUCCACCCAAGACUCAGUGAAAUUGAACUCGCUGUGAAGAUGCAGUGUACCCGCGGCAAGACGGAAAGACCCCGUGAACCUUUACUAUAGCUUGACACUGAACAUUGAACCUUGAUGUGUAGGAUAGGUGGGAGGCUUUGAAGUGUGGACGCCAGUCUGCAUGGAGCCGACCUUGAAAUACCACCCUUUAAUGUUUGAUGUUCUAACCUGGUCCCGUGAUCCGGGAUAGGGACAGUGUCUGGUGGGUAGUUUGACUGGGGCGGUCUCCUCCCAAAGAGUAACGGAGGAGCACGAAGGUUAGCUAAUCCUGGUCGGACAUCAGGAGGUUAGUGCAAAGGCAUAAGCUAGCUUGACUGCGAGAGUGACGGCUCGAGCAGGUGCGAAAGCAGGUCUUAGUGAUCCGGUGGUUCUGAAUGGAAGGGCCAUCGCUCAACGGAUAAAAGGUACUCCGGGGAUAACAGGCUGAUACCGCCCAAGAGUUCAUAUCGACGGCGGUGUUUGGCACCUCGAUGUCGGCUCAUCACAUCCUGGGGCUGAAGUAGGUCCCAAGGGUAUGGCUGUUCGCCAUUUAAAGUGGUACGCGAGCUGGGUUUAGAACGUCGUGAGACAGUUCGGUCCCUAUCUGCCGUGGGCGUUGGAAGAUUGAGAGGGGCUGCUCCUAGUACGAGAGGACCGGAGUGGACGCACCGCUGGUGUUCGGGUUGUGAUGCCAAUUGCAUUGCCCGGUAGCUACGUGCGGAAAAGAUAAGCGCUGAAAGCAUCUAAGCGCGAAACUUGCCUCGAGAUGAGUCUUCCCUUGGACCUUGAGUCCACUGAAGGAACGUUUAAGACUAAGACGUUGAUAGGCUGGGUGUGUAAGCGUAGCGAUACGUUGAGCUAACCAGUACUAAUGAUCCGAGAGGCUUAACCUU